CCUACGGGUGGCAGCAGUGGGGAAUAUUGGGCAAUGGGCGCAAGCCUGACCCAGCAACGCCGCGUGAAGGAAGAAGGCUUUCGGGUUGUAAACUUCUUUUGACAGGGAAGAGUAGCAGACGGUACCCGUCGCAUCAGCCACGGCUAACUACGUGCCAGCAGCCGCGGUAAUACGUAGGUGGCAAGCGUUGUCCGGCUUUACUGGGUGUAAAGGGCGUGGAGCCGGGUGGACAAGUCAGAUGUGAAAUCCUGCGGCUUAACCGGAGAACUGCAUUUGAAACUGUUGCUCUUGAGUGCUGGAGAGGCAGACGGAAUUCCUGGUGUAGCGGUGAAAUGCGUAGAUAUUAGGAGGAACACCAGUGGCGAAGGCGGUCUGGUGGACAGUAACUGACGGUGAGGCGCGAAAGCGUGGGGAGCAAACAGGAUUAGAUACCCCUGUAGUC
RNAcentral lists this ribosomal RNA (442 nucleotides) under uncultured bacterium. Its description in RNAcentral is "partial 16S ribosomal RNA". It matches the Rfam family "Bacterial small subunit ribosomal RNA", at positions 338 to 795 of the family's 1533-position model. The record is from RNAcentral.